GCGAGUUAGCAAUAAACUCCAAACCCCUGUGAACAUACCUAUUGUUGCCUCGGCAGGUCGUGCUGCGCGGGAGGACCGCUACCCGGCGGGGGACCUACCCUAUGGUAGUUACCCUGGAGCCGGGCAGCGCCUACCCUGCAGCACGCUACAUGGCCUGCCAGAGGACCCCUAAACUCUGUUUUACACUGUAUCUCUGAGUCUAUUAAACAAACAAGUUA
RNAcentral lists this unclassified non-coding RNA (218 nucleotides) under uncultured Biscogniauxia. RNAcentral describes it as "sequence contains ITS1". Lineage: Eukaryota; Fungi; Ascomycota; Sordariomycetes; Xylariales; Xylariaceae. The record is from RNAcentral.